Molecule: ribosomal RNA, 407 nt
Filed under: uncultured Frankiaceae bacterium
Lineage: Bacteria; Bacillati; Actinomycetota; Actinomycetes; Frankiales; Frankiaceae
Also listed under: 1 other name
Description: partial 16S ribosomal RNA
Rfam family: Bacterial small subunit ribosomal RNA
Source: RNAcentral
UGGGGAAUAUUGCACAAUGGGCGAAAGCCUGAUGCAGCGACGCCGCGUGAGGGAUGACUGCCUUCGGGUUGUAAACCUCUUUCAGCAGGGACGAAGCGAAAGUGACGGUACCUGCAGAAGAAGCACCGGCCAACUACGUGCCAGCAGCCGCGGUAAUACGUAGGGUGCAAGCGUUGUCCGGAAUUAUUGGGCGUAAAGAGCUCGUAGGCGGCUCGUCGCGUCGGCUGUGAAAACCUGGGGCUCAACCCCGGGCCUGCAGCCGAUACGGGCGAGCUAGAAUUCGGUAGGGGAGACUGGAAUUCCUGGUGUAGCGGUGAAAUGCGCAGAUAUCAGGAGGAACACCGGUGGCGAAGGCGGGUCUCUGGGCCGAUAUUGACGCUGAGGAGCGAAAGCGUGGGGAGCGAACA